RNAcentral lists this ribosomal RNA (245 nucleotides) under uncultured bacterium. Its description in RNAcentral is "partial 16S ribosomal RNA". It matches the Rfam family "Bacterial small subunit ribosomal RNA", at positions 524 to 768 of the family's 1533-position model. The record is from RNAcentral.
UACGUAGGGGGCUAGCGUUGUCCGGAAUCACUGGGUGUAAAGGGUGCUCAGGCGGGUCAAUAAGUCAGAGGUGAAAUCCUGCAGCUUAACUGCAGAACUGCCUUUGAUACUGUUGAUCUAGAGUUCAAGAGAGGAUGAUGGAAUUCAUGGUGUAGCAGUGAAAUGCGUAGAUAUCAUGAAGAACACCAGUAGCGAAGGCGGUCAUCUGGCUUGAUACUGACGCUCAAGCACGAAAGCGUGGGGAG